CUACGGGUUGCAGCAGUCAAGAAUCUUCCUCAAUGGGCGAAAGCCUGAAGGAGCGACACCGCGUGCAUGAAGAAGCCUUUCGGGGUGUAAAGUGCUUUUAUAUGUGACGAAACAAUGACGGUAGCAUAUGAAUAAGGGGCUGCUAACCUCGUGCCAGCAGCAGCGGUAAUACGAGGGCCCCAAGCGUUAUCCGGAUUUAUUGGGCGUAAAGCGUCCGUAGGUGGUUUAUCGCAUCUCCUGUUAAAUCUCGAGGCUCAACCUCGAGCCAGCGGGAGAGAUGGACAAACUAGAGAUCGGAAGAGGCAAACGGAAUUGCUGGUGUAGGGGUUAAAUCCAUUAAUAUCAGCAAGAACACCAAAUGCGAAGGUAGUUUGCUAGGACGAAUCUGACACUCAGUGGACGAAAGCGUGGGGAGCGAAUGGGAUUAGAUACCCUGGUAGUC
Molecule: ribosomal RNA, 442 nt
Filed under: uncultured bacterium
Lineage: Bacteria
Description: partial 16S ribosomal RNA
Rfam family: Bacterial small subunit ribosomal RNA
Source: RNAcentral